GAUGAACGCUGGCGGCGUGCCUAAUACAUGCAAGUCGAGCGAACGGACGAGAAGCUUGCUUCUCUGAUGUUAGCGGCGGACGGGUGAGUAACACGUGGAUAACCUACCUAUAAGACUGGGAUAACUUCGGGAAACCGGAGCUAAUACCGGAUAAUAUUUUGAACCGCAUGGUUCAAAAGUGAAAGACGGUCUUGCUGUCACUUAUAGAUGGAUCCGCGCUGCAUUAGCUAGUUGGUAAGGUAACGGCUUACCAAGGCAACGAUGCAUAGCCGACCUGAGAGGGUGCUCGGCCACACUGGAACUGAGCCACGGUCCAGACUCCUACGGGAGGCAGCAGUAGGGAAUCUUCCGCAAUGGGCGAAAGCCUGACGGCGCAACGCCGCGUGAGUGAUGAAGGUCUUCGGAUCGUAAAACUCUGUUAUUAGGGAAGAACAUAUGUGUAAGUAACUGUGCACAUCUUGACGGUACCUAAUCAGAAAGCCACGGCUAACUACGUG
This 497-nucleotide ribosomal RNA is filed under the name uncultured bacterium. RNAcentral describes it as "partial 16S ribosomal RNA". It matches the Rfam family "Bacterial small subunit ribosomal RNA", at positions 28 to 507 of the family's 1533-position model. The record is from RNAcentral.